CCUACGGGUGGCAGCAGUGAGGAAUAUUGGUCAAUGGUCGGGAGACUGAACCAGCCAAGCCGCGUGAGGGAUGAAGGUACAGAGUAUCGUAAACCUCUUUUGUCAGGGAACAAAGGCGGGGACGCGUCCCCGGAUGAGUGUACCUGAAGAAAAAGCAUCGGCUAACUCCGUGCCAGCAGCCGCGGUAAUACGGAGGAUGCGAGCGUUAUCCGGAUUUAUGGGGUUUAAAGGGUGCGCAGGCGGCCUGGUAAGGCAGCGGUCAAAGCCCGGGGCUCAACCGCGGCCCGCCGUUGAAACUGGCAGUCUCGAGUUGGAGAGAAGUAUGCGGAAUGCGCGGUGUAGCGGUGAAAUGCAUAGAUAUCGCGCAGAACUCCGAUUGCGAAGGCAGCAUGCCGGCUCCACACUGACGCUGAGGCACGAAAGCGUGGGUAUCGAACAGGAUUAGAUACCCUGGUAGUC
RNAcentral lists this ribosomal RNA (459 nucleotides) under uncultured bacterium. RNAcentral's name for it is "partial 16S ribosomal RNA". It matches the Rfam family "Bacterial small subunit ribosomal RNA", at positions 338 to 795 of the family's 1533-position model. The record is from RNAcentral.